GUUCAAAGAGACAAAAGGAAUCAUCGUAAACACGUUUGCAGAAUUAGAACCUCAUGCUGUGAAUCAAUUGAAAUCCGACAGUGAAACACUACCAAUUUACACAGCUGGACCCUUGCUCGACCUGGAGGGCAAAAGGCAAGACUCAGACUGCGAAAGGAUAAUGAAAUGGCUAGAUGACCAGCCUCCAUCAUCAGUGGUAUUCCUCUGUUUUGGAAGCAUGGGUAGUUUUGAGCCUGACCAGUUAGCAGAGAUGGCAAUUGCCCUCGAGCAGAGUGGCUACAGGUUCUUGUGGGCUAUCAGGUCGCCCCCAUCCAAGGACGAUAUCACAAAAAGGAUGGGUGAAUAUUCCAAUUUGUCUGAAGUACUUCCAGAAGGUUUCUUGGAACGUGUCGAGAAUCGAGGAUUGGUGUGUGGUUGGGCACCGCAGAUGGAGGUGCUGGCUCAUGAAGCAGUUGGUGGAUUUGUAUCGCACUGUGGCUGGAAUUCCACCCUGGAAAGCCUGUGGUAUGGGGUGCCUGUUGCAACAUGGCCUCUUUAUGCUGAGCAACAAAUUAAUGCAUUUGAAUUGGUCAGAGAAUUGGAACUAGCUCUGGAAUUGAAGUUGGAUUAUCGAACGGAAAAUGCAAAGAAUCUUGUAAUGGCUGAGGAAAUAGAGAAAGCUAUCAGAUGCUUGAUGGACUCUGAAAAUCCAAUCAGAGGGAGAGUUAAAGAAAUGAAAGAAAUGAGUAGAAAGGCCAUUCAAAAUGGGGGCUCUUCGUUCAUCUCAGUUGGACGCUUGAUUGAAGAUAUCCAUAUCAACAAAGCAAAUAAGGCAUAGAAUCAUUUCCGCCACAUGAUCAUGUUAUCAGCAGAUUAAGGGAAGUUUCUUCAGCUGCUCCUAUUUCCCAAUAUCAAUUUGCUUUGUUUAUUUUAGUGUUUCUUAAUCGAUCUUAUUAUCACAUUGGUGAUUAAAUUCAGGUUAUUACUGCUUCCUUAUGUUUGAAUAUAUGUUUUUUGCUUCAUACUGAUGUCUGGGAGUUCGUCAUUACUUCCCAUUUUUCAUAAGUAGUCCAUACUUAUCUUCUCAUCUUUUGUGAUUCCAUUAUUAAAGAAUUUUCUUGGUAAUCAUCUUUUCGGUUUGACAUGGUGAGCAUACUCUCAAUUGGAAUGAAAACUGAAAUUUAAGUAAGCUUACUUGGUCCCAAGCGUGUGCAUGCAAAGUUAUCACUUGUUAUACAUCUGAAGUUUGUAAUUCUAACUUAUUUUGUGUGUAAAUACUAAAUAGUGAAUACGUGAAAAUCAAGUGCAAAAGAAUUUGGUCAAAUCUUGGACAUGAAAUAUGGCCAAAUUUGCAUUCUUUCCCAAGUCAGGUCUUGAAUCAUGAUCGAAAUUUGUUCAAUUUCAAUCAAUUAAAUAUUGGAAUCCAGUAUCAUUUAGAUUUGGAUUUGGUGGCAAAUCAAUUGCAAUCUCCAUUAGUCAAUAAUACAAAGCCAGGAAUUCUUGAAGGUCCAGGUGAUCAGUUCCAGUUUUGCUUCUGUGAAAUAAAUAAUAGAAAGCGUGGUCAAGUGGCUUUGCUCAUGCAUGACCAAACCCCUUUCAUUUUUUACUCUUUUUCCUCUUUUCUGUAUAUCACAAACAAUGUAAAGAAUGACUGGGAAAGACUGAAAGAACCUCUAGGGACUAUUUUUAAAUUACUGUAAAAGAACCUAUCCGAUUAUUUUAUUUAUUUGCUGUAGUGGGGCAAAUCCGCGCAUGACAUGUGUCAGGUCGGUAGACCGCGCACGGCAGGUCGGCAGUAGGUACCUCGAGGCUGGCAUGGGCCAGCUCGGCAUAAGAAAGCCAGCUCGGCAUGGCGGGGGUCUCCUAUGAUGGGCUUGAUGGGCCGCCGUCUCCGAACAUUUAGGGGCCGCCGCGGAAAACCCUAGGAAGACUCCGAACCCUAAGGGGACUUUGACUCCCAUAAGGAAACUACAACUCGAACGGUCUUAUAUAUACUCCGCUACCAAGACUACGGAAGGUACGCUCACAAGUAUUCUCUACUAUUACUAUACCCUUCUACGGCCAAACUAACUUGACCGUCGGAGUUAUCCCAGGGACAUCAGUCCCGCCUCCGUUCUUUCUUCCCAGGUCACCUAGCACGAUCCCAACUCGAUUUGUCCAAUCAGGUCGGCCGCAUCAGCUCAGCUCGGACACGGUUUUUGGCAGUCGCAUCAAUUGGCGCCGUCUGUGGGAAACCCGUUACACUUCAUUGCGAAUCAUGCCGAAAACUAGGUCGCAGAGGAACGCUGGCGGGCCCAAGGGGGCCGAGCGUGGUGGCUCCCAAAACCCCUCUCGGGGUCCAACACCCGGAGAAGGAGGGGCAGGGCCCUCACGAAUCCCGCCUGAACAACUGGUUCAGACAGUGGCCGAAAACCUGCCCACCUUCGAGGCAAUCAUGAACUACCUCAAAGAGCAGUCGGGAGGUCAUCAGGACAAGGAGCCCAAGGUUCAGGGAGCAGAUCAGUCAGAAUCUCGAACGGGGAGUCCCACCAAAACUGGGGCCAAGCGAGCACACCGGGAAGUCACGCGUGAGCAAGUCGAGGUCAUGAAGCCUUCUCACAAGAACUCCCGAACUGAACACCCGGAACCCGUCCGGAGGCUCCCCAGGGGAGACCUCUCCCCCCGGAGAGAGAGACAACAGGUGCGGGACGAGCUGGACCUGCUUCUAGACCCAGAAGCGGACAGGUACAUUACCUCCCCCUUUGUGCUCGAUAUCGAGGAAUACCAACUGCCUGCGAAGUUCAAAAUUCCAAACAUGAAACCUUACGACGCAACCACGGAUCCGGAGGACCACCUGUUCGUAUUCAUGACGCAGAUGCGCUUACAGACAGCUGCGGACGCGGUCAGGUGUAAGACCUUUCCAAUGUUCCUGGAAGGAAGGGCCCGGCAGUGGUUCCAGGGGCUUCCCCCUAGGUCGAUCGGUUCUUUUAACCAGCUCGCACGGCAGUUCUCUGCACAGUUCGUUUCCUCACGGGCCUACUCCAAAAGCACCGCUCACCUCAUGACUAUCCAACAGAAGCCCGAGGAGUCCUUGCGUGAAUACAUGGUGCGCUUCAAUAAUGAGUCCCUUCAAGUUCGAGAUCGCGACGAUAAGGUGGUCAUGGCCGCCUUCAUCAAUGGGCUGCGCAAGCAAAAGCUUUACACCGAGCUUGUGGAGAGACCUCCCAAGUCAGUUCGGGAGAUGCUAGACCGAGCCCAUGAGAAGGCCAACGCGGAGGAAGCAAAUCGCCUUAAGAGUGCACAAGAGAAACUGAGGGAUGACAAGCGCAAGAAGGGCGCCGACCAGGUGAGGGCACGGCCUGACCAGGGAAGGAAGAUUGCUUAUGACCGUCUCCCCAAGAGCCGCCCAAUGGGAGAGGACAAGUCUUGGAUUGGCCUCACGGCACCUAGAGCUCGAGUGCUCGCAGUGAUGGAGUAGGAGGGGCUAUCCCGACCUCCUCGGCCCUUGGCUGGGGACAAAAAUCGACGGGACCAAGGUCUGUAUUGCGCCUACCAUCGUGAUGUGGGGCAUGAUACGGAGGACUGCCGUCAUCUCAAGAAAGACAUUGAAAAACUAAUCAAACGAGGCCAUCUGGGGCAGUUUGUACGAGAGGAACGAGCUGACCAGCAACGGGGAAGGCCUAGAUCGGAACGUCCAAGCUACCUACGGGACCGGCCUCAGGGGCCCCGUGGCCGAACUCCCGAGCAGGAAAUACAGAACCUGGCGGGGGUGAUUAACACUAUUGCCGGGGGACCUGCGGGUGGAGAUAGCCAUGCAGCUCGGCGGCACAACCGCCCCCCUCCCACGGGGGAGAGCUCGGCCAAGCGAUUGAAGAUGUAUGAGGAAAUAAUUUAUAGACCUGAAGACGCAGUCCCUUUGGCCUCUAAUAACCAUGAAGCUAUUGUGAUAGAAGUCAUCACCUGUAACUACAAAUGUUGUGCCUUCUUUUGCAUUUAACAAGUAUGGUGGUUAUGCCUCAUUCUUGAAACAUGCUACAAGGUUCAAAGAGACAAAAGGAAUCAUCGUAAACACGUUUGCAGAAUUAGAACCUCAUGCUGUGAAUCAAUUGAAAUCCGACAGUGAAACACUACCAAUUUACACAGCUGGACCCUUGCUCGACCUGGAGGGCAAAAGGCAAGACUCAGACUGCGAAAGGAUAAUGAAAUGGCUAGAUGACCAGCCUCCAUCAUCAGUGGUAUUCCUCUGUUUUGGAAGCAUGGGUAGUUUUGAGCCUGACCAGUUAGCAGAGAUGGCAAUUGCCCUCGAGCAGAGUGGCUACAGGUUCUUGUGGGCUGUCAGGUCGCCCCCAUCCAAGGACGAUAUCACAAAAAGGAUGGGUGAAUAUUCCAAUUUGUCUGAAGUACUUCCAGAAGGUUUCUUGGAACGUGUCGAGAAUCGAGGAUUGGUGUGUGGUUGGGCACCGCAGAUGGAGGUGCUGGCUCAUGAAGCAGUUGGUGGAUUUGUAUCGCACUGUGGCUGGAAUUCCACCCUGGAAAGCCUGUGGUAUGGGGUGCCUGUUGCAACAUGGCCUCUUUAUGCUGAGCAACAAAUUAAUGCAUUUGAAUUGGUCAGAGAAUUGGAACUAGCUCUGGAAUUGAAGUUGGAUUAUCGAACGGAAAAUGCAAAGAAUCUUGUAAUGGCUGAGGAAAUAGAGAAAGCUAUCAGAUGCUUGAUGGACUCUGAAAAUCCAAUCAGAGGGAGAGUUAAAGAAAUGAAAGAAAUGAGUAGAAAGGCCAUUCAAAAUGGGGGCUCUUCGUUCAUCUCAGUUGGACGCUUGAUUGAAGAUAUCCAUAUCAACAAAGCAAAUAAGGCAUAGAAUCAUUUCCGCCACAUGAUCAUGUUAUCAGCAGAUUAAGGGAAGUUUCUUCAGCUGCUCCUAUUUCCCAAUAUCAAUUUGCUUUGUUUAUUUUAGUGUUUCUUAAUCGAUCUUAUUAUCACAUUGGUGAUUAAAUUCAGGUUAUUACUGCUUCCUUAUGUUUGAAUAUAUGUUUUUUGCUUCAUACUGAUGUCUGGGAGUUCGUCAUUACUUCCCAUUUUUCAUAAGUAGUCCAUACUUAUCUUCUCAUCUUUUGUGAUUCCAUUAUUAAAGAAUUUUCUUGGUAAUCAUCUUUUCGGUUUGACAUGGUGAGCAUACUCUCAAUUGGAAUGAAAACUGAAAUUUAAGUAAGCUUACUUGGUCCCAAGCGUGUGCAUGCAAAGUUAUCACUUGUUAUACAUCUGAAGUUUGUAAUUCUAACUUAUUUUGUGUGUAAAUACUAAAUAGUGAAUACGUGAAAAUCAAGUGCAAAAGAAUUUGGUCAAAUCUUGGACAUGAAAUAUGGCCAAAUUUGCAUUCUUUCCCAAGUCAGGUCUUGAAUCAUGAUCGAAAUUUGUUCAAUUUCAAUCAAUUAAAUAUUGGAAUCCAGUAUCAUUUAGAUUUGGAUUUGGUGGCAAAUCAAUUGCAAUCUCCAUUAGUCAAUAAUACAAAGCCAGGAAUUCUUGAAGGUCCAGGUGAUCAGUUCCAGUUUUGCUUCUGUGAAAUAAAUAAUAGAAAGCGUGGUCAAGUGGCUUUGCUCAUGCAUGACCAAACCCCUUUCAUUUUUUACUCUUUUUCCUCUUUUCUGUAUAUCACAAACAAUGUAAAGAAUGACUGGGAAAGACUGAAAGAACCUCUAGGGACUAUUUUUAAAUUACUGUAAAAGAACCUAUCCGAUUAUUUUAUUUAUUUGCUGUAGUGGGGCAAAUCCGCGCAUGACAUGUGUCAGGUCGGUAGACCGCGCACGGCAGGUCGGCAGUAGGUACCUCGAGGCUGGCAUGGGCCAGCUCGGCAUAAGAAAGCCAGCUCGGCAUGGCGGGGGUCUCCUACGAUGGGCUUGAUGGGCCGCCGUCUCCGAACAUUUAGGGGCCGCCGCGGAAAACCCUAGGAAGACUCCGAACCCUAAGGGGACUUUGACUCCCAUAAGGAAACUACAACUCGAACGGUCUUAUAUAUACUCCGCUACCAAGACUACGGAAGGUACGCUCACAAGUAUUCUCUACUAUUACUAUACCCUUCUACGGCCAAACUAACUUGACCGUCGGAGUUAUCCCAGGGACAUCAGUCCCGCCUCCGUUCUUUCUUCCCAGGUCACCUAGCACGAUCCCAACUCGAUUUGUCCAAUCAGGUCGGCCGCAUCAGCUCAGCUCGGACACGGUUUUUGGCAGUCGCAUCAAUUGGCGCCGUCUGUGGGAAACCCGUUACACUUCAUUGCGAAUCAUGCCGAAAACUAGGUCGCAGAGGAACGCUGGCGGGCCCAAGGGGGCCGAGCGUGGUGGCUCCCAAAACCCCUCUCGGGGUCCAACACCCGGAGAAGGAGGGGCAGGGCCCUCACGAAUCCCGCUUGAACAACUGGUUCAGACAGUGGCCGAAAACCUGCCCACCUUCGAGGCAAUCAUGAACUACCUCAAAGAGCAGUCGGGAGGUCAUCAGGACAAGGAGCCCAAGGUUCAGGGAGCAGAUCAGUCAGAAUCCCGAACGGGGAGUCCCACCAAAACUGGGGCCAAGCGAGCACACCGGGAAGUCACGCGUGAGCAAGUCGAGGUCAUGAAGCCUUCUCACAAGAACUCCCGAACUGAACACCCGGAACCCGUCCGGAGGCUCCCCAGGGGAGACCUCUCCCCCCGGAGAGAGAGACAACAGGUGCGGGACGAGCUGGACCUGCUUCUAGACCCAGAAGCGGACAGGUACAUUACCUCCCCCUUUGUGCUCGAUAUCGAGGAAUACCAACUGCCUGCGAAGUUCAAAAUUCCAAACAUGAAACCUUACGACGCAACCACGGAUCCGGAGGACCACCUGUUCGUAUUCAUGACGCAGAUGCGCUUACAGACAGCUGCGGACGCGGUCAGGUGUAAGACCUUUCCAAUGUUCCUGGAAGGAAGGGCCCGGCAGUGGUUCCAGGGGCUUCCCCCUAGGUCGAUCGGUUCUUUUAACCAGCUCGCACGGCAGUUCUCUGCACAGUUCGUUUCCUCACGGGCCUACUCCAAAAGCACCGCUCACCUCAUGACUAUCCAACAGAAGCCCGAGGAGUCCUUGCGUGAAUACAUGGUGCGCUUCAAUAAUGAGUCCCUUCAAGUUCGAGAUCGCGACGAUAAGGUGGUCAUGGCCGCCUUCAUCAAUGGGCUGCGCAAGCAAAAGCUUUACACCGAGCUUGUGGAGAGACCUCCCAAGUCAGUUCGGGAGAUGCUAGACCGAGCCCAUGAGAAGGCCAACGCGGAGGAAGCAAAUCGCCUUAAGAGUGCACAAGAGAAACUGAGGGAUGACAAGCGCAAGAAGGGCGCCGACCAGGUGAGGGCACGGCCUGACCAGGGAAGGAAGAUUGCUUAUGACCGUCUCCCCAAGAGCCGCCCAAUGGGAGAGGACAAGUCUUGGAUUGGCCUCACGGCACCUAGAGCUCGAGUGCUCGCAGUGAUGGAGUAGGAGGGGCUAUCCCGACCUCCUCGGCCCUUGGCUGGGGACAAAAAUCGACGGGACCAAGGUCUGUAUUGCGCCUACCAUCGUGAUGUGGGGCAUGAUACGGAGGACUGCCGUCAUCUCAAGAAAGACAUUGAAAAACUAAUCAAACGAGGCCAUCUGGGGCAGUUUGUACGAGAGGAACGAGCUGACCAGCAACGGGGAAGGCCUAGAUCGGAACGUCCAAGCUACCUACGGGACCGGCCUCAGGGGCCCCGUGGCCGAACUCCCGAGCAGGAAAUACAGAACCUGGCGGGGGUGAUUAACACUAUUGCCGGGGGACCUGCGGGUGGAGAUAGCCAUGCAGCUCGGCGGCACAACCGCCCCCCUCCCACGGGGGAGAGCUCGGCCAAGCGAUUGAAGAUGUAUGAGGAAAUAAUUUAUAGACCUGAAGACGCAGUCCCUUUGGCCUCUAAUAACCAUGAAGCUAUUGUGAUAGAAGUCAUCACCUGUAACUACAAAUGUUGUGCCUUCUUUUGCAUUUAACAAGUAUGGUGGUUAUGCCUCAUUCUUGAAACAUGCUACAAGGUUCAAAGAGACAAAAGGAAUCAUCGUAAACACGUUUGCAGAAUUAGAACCUCAUGCUGUGAAUCAAUUGAAAUCCGACAGUGAAACACUACCAAUUUACACAGCUGGACCCUUGCUCGACCUGGAGGGCAAAAGGCAAGACUCAGACUGCGAAAGGAUAAUGAAAUGGCUAGAUGACCAGCCUCCAUCAUCAGUGGUAUUCCUCUGUUUUGGAAGCAUGGGUAGUUUUGAGCCUGACCAGUUAGCAGAGAUGGCAAUUGCCCUCGAGCAGAGUGGCUACAGGUUCUUGUGGGCUGUCAGGUCGCCCCCAUCCAAGGACGAUAUCACAAAAAGGAUGGGUGAAUAUUCCAAUUUGUCUGAAGUACUUCCAGAAGGUUUCUUGGAACGUGUCGAGAAUCGAGGAUUGGUGUGUGGUUGGGCACCGCAGAUGGAGGUGCUGGCUCAUGAAGCAGUUGGUGGAUUUGUAUCGCACUGUGGCUGGAAUUCCACCCUGGAAAGCCUGUGGUAUGGGGUGCCUGUUGCAACAUGGCCUCUUUAUGCUGAGCAACAAAUUAAUGCAUUUGAAUUGGUCAGAGAAUUGGAACUAGCUCUGGAAUUGAAGUUGGAUUAUCGAACGGAAAAUGCAAAGAAUCUUGUAAUGGCUGAGGAAAUAGAGAAAGCUAUCAGAUGCUUGAUGGACUCUGAAAAUCCAAUCAGAGGGAGAGUUAAAGAAAUGAAAGAAAUGAGUAGAAAGGCCAUUCAAAAUGGG
RNAcentral lists this long non-coding RNA (8742 nucleotides) under Coffea arabica (coffee). RNAcentral's name for it is "long non-coding RNA (CARA_LNC004610)". The record is from RNAcentral. Lineage: Eukaryota; Viridiplantae; Streptophyta; Magnoliopsida; Gentianales; Rubiaceae.